RNAcentral lists this ribosomal RNA (236 nucleotides) under uncultured Actinomycetales bacterium. Its description in RNAcentral is "partial 16S ribosomal RNA". It matches the Rfam family "Bacterial small subunit ribosomal RNA", at positions 97 to 334 of the family's 1533-position model. Lineage: Bacteria; Bacillati; Actinomycetota; Actinomycetes; Actinomycetales. The record is from RNAcentral.
GGCGAACGGGCGAGUAACACGUGAGUAACCUGCCCUUGACUUUGGGAUAACUUCAGGAAACUGGGGCUAAUACCGGAUAGGAGCUCCUGCUGCAUGGUGGGGGUUGGAAAGUUUCGGCGGUUGGGGAUGGACUCGCGGCUUAUCAGCUUGUUGGUGGGGUAGUGGCUUACCAAGGCUUUGACGGGUAGCCGGCCUGAGAGGAUGACCGGCCACAUUGGGACUGAGAUACGGCCCAG